GAGACGUGGGGGGGGGGGCUAUACAUGCAAGUCGAACGCUUUGUGGUUCAACUGAUUUGAAGAGCUUGCUCAGAUAUGACGAUGGACAUUGCAAAGAGUGGCGAACGGGUGAGUAACACGUGGGAAACCUACCUCUUAGCAGGGGAUAACAUUUGGAAACAGAUGCUAAUACCGUAUAACAAUGACAACCGCAUGGUUGUUAUUUAAAAGAUGGUUCUGCUAUCACUAAGAGAUGGUCCCGCGGUGCAUUAGCUAGUUGGUAAGGUAAUGGCUUACCAAGGCGAUGAUGCAUAGCCGAGUUGAGAGACUGAUCGGCCACAAUGGGACUGAGACACGGCCCAUACUCCUACGGGAGGCAGCAGUAGGGAAUCUUCCACAAUGGGCGAAAGCCUGAUGGAGCAACGCCGCGUGUGUGAUGAAGGGUUUCGGCUCGUAAAACACUGUUGUAAGAGAAGAAUGACAUUGAGAGUAACUGUUCAAUGUGUGACGGUAUCUUACCAGAAAGGAACGGCUAAAUACGUGCCAGCAGCCGCGGUAAUACGUAUGUUCCAAGCGUUAUCCGGAUUUAUUGGGCGUAAAGCGAGCGCAGACGGUUAUUUAAGUCUGAAGUGAAAGCCCUCAGCUCAACUGAGGAAUUGCUUUGGAAACUGGAUGACUUGAGUGCAGUAGAGGAAAGUGGAACUCCAUGUGUAGCGGUGAAAUGCGUAGAUAUAUGGAAGAACACCAGUGGCGAAGGCGGCUUUCUGGACUGUAACUGACGUUGAGGCUCGAAAGUGUGGGUAGCAAACAGGAUUAGAUACCCUGGUAGUCCACACCGUAAACGAUGAGUGCUAGGUGUUUGAGGGUUUCCGCCCUUAAGUGCCGCAGCUAACGCAUUAAGCACUCCGCCUGGGGAGUACGACCGCAAGGUUGAAACUCAAAGGAAUUGACGGGGACCCGCACAAGCGGUGGAGCAUGUGGUUUAAUUCGAAGCAACGCGAAGAACCUUACCAGGUCUUGACAUCCCUUGACAACUCCAGAGAUGGAGCGUUCCCUUCGGGGACAAGGUGACAGGUGGUGCAUGGUUGUCGUCAGCUCGUGUCGUGAGAUGUUGGGUUAAGUCCCGCAACGAGCGCAACCCUUAUUACUAGUUGCCAGCAUUCAGUUGGGCACUCUAGUGAGACUGCCGGUGACAAACCGGAGGAAGGUGGGGAUGACGUCAAAUCAUCAUGCCCCUUAUGACCUGGGCUACACACGUGCUACAAUGGCGUAUACAACGAGUUGCCAACCCGCGAGGGUGAGCUAAUCUCUUAAAGUACGUCUCAGUUCGGAUUGUAGGCUGCAACUCGCCUACAUGAAGUCGGAAUCGCUAGUAAUCGCGGAUCAGCACGCCGCGGUGAAUACGUUCCCGGGUCUUGUACACACCGCCCGUCACACCAUGAGAGUUUGUAACACCCAAAGCCGGUGGGGUAACCUUCGGGAGCCAGCCGUCUAAGGUGAACAAAAUGGG
Molecule: ribosomal RNA, 1489 nt
Filed under: Weissella confusa
Lineage: Bacteria; Bacillati; Bacillota; Bacilli; Lactobacillales; Lactobacillaceae
Description: bacterial SSU rRNA
Rfam family: Bacterial small subunit ribosomal RNA
Source: RNAcentral